Molecule: transfer RNA, 76 nt
Filed under: Pseudoflavonifractor phocaeensis
Lineage: Bacteria; Bacillati; Bacillota; Clostridia; Eubacteriales; Oscillospiraceae
Also listed under: 8 other names
Description: tRNA-Met
Rfam family: tRNA
About the family: Transfer RNA (tRNA) molecules are approximately 80 nucleotides in length. Their secondary structure includes four short double-helical elements and three loops (D, anti-codon, and T loops).
Source: RNAcentral
CGCGGGGUAGAGCAGUUGGUAGCUCGUCGGGCUCAUAACCCGGAGGUCGCAGGUUCAAAUCCUGUCCCCGCAACCA